RNAcentral lists this ribosomal RNA (253 nucleotides) under uncultured bacterium. RNAcentral's name for it is "partial 16S ribosomal RNA". It matches the Rfam family "Bacterial small subunit ribosomal RNA", at positions 524 to 776 of the family's 1533-position model. The record is from RNAcentral.
UACGUAGGGGGCAAGCGUUGUCCGGAAUCAUUGGGCGUAAAGAGCGUGUAGGCGGCCAGAUAAGUCCGCUGUGAAAUCUCGAGGCUCAACUUCGAGCUGUCGGUGGAAACUGUCUGGCUAGAGUCCGGAAGAGGAGAAUGGAAUUCCUGGUGUAGCGGUGAAAUGCGCAGAUAUCAGGAAGAACACCCGUGGCGAAGGCGGGUCUCUGGGCCGAUACUGACGCUGAGGAGCGAAAGCAUGGGUAGCGAACAGG